Molecule: ribosomal RNA, 497 nt
Filed under: uncultured bacterium
Lineage: Bacteria
Description: partial 16S ribosomal RNA
Rfam family: Bacterial small subunit ribosomal RNA
Source: RNAcentral
GAUGAACGCUGGCGGCGUGCCUAAUACAUGCAAGUCGAGCGAACAGACGAGGAGCUUGCUCCUCUGACGUUAGUGGCGGACGGGUGAGUAACACGUGGAUAACCUACCUAUAAGACUGGGAUAACUUCGGGAAACCGGAGCUAAUACCGGAUAAUAUAUUGAACCGCAUGGUUCAAUAGUGAAAGACGGUUUUGCUGUCACUUAUAGAUGGAUCCGCGCCGCAUUAGCUAGUUGGUAAGGUAACGGCUUACCAAGGCAAGGAUGAGUAGCCGACCCGAGAGGGUGAUCGGCCACACUGGAACUGUGACGCGGUCCAGACGUCUGCGGGAGGCAGCAGAGGGGAAUCUUACGCAAUGGGCGAAAGCUUGACGGAGCAACGCCGCGUGAGUGAUGAAGUUCUUCGGAUCGUAAAGCGCUGUUAUUAGGGAAGAACAAAUGUGUACGUAACUAUGCACUUCUUGACGGUACCUAAUCAGAAAGCCACGGCUAGCUACGUG